UUUCCGUAGGUGAACCUGCGGAAGGAUCAUUAACGGGUUAGGGUCUUCCAGGCCCGACCUCCCAACCCUAUGUUUAUUGAACCUCUGUUGCUUCGGCGGACCCGCCUCAUGGCCGCCGGAGGACCGCUGCAAGGCGUCCUCUGGCCAGCGUCCGCCGAUGGCCAACCACUUAAACUCUGAAUGAAUCGUGUCAUAUGUCUAAGUCUAUGAUUAAAUUAAAGCAAAACUUUCAACAACGGAUCUCUUGGUUCUG
This 253-nucleotide unclassified non-coding RNA is filed under the name plant metagenome. RNAcentral's name for it is "partial contains small subunit ribosomal RNA, internal transcribed spacer 1, and 5.8S ribosomal RNA". The record is from RNAcentral.